Molecule: RNA transcript, 3293 nt
Organism: Olea europaea var. sylvestris
Lineage: Eukaryota; Viridiplantae; Streptophyta; Magnoliopsida; Lamiales; Oleaceae
Gene name: pentatricopeptide repeat-containing protein At1g73400, mitochondrial
Exons: 2
Source: RefSeq, a predicted model, not a curated record
AAAAUUGAUAGCCCAAUAGCCCAUUUGCGGUGCCUUCUCCUCGAAUUUUGCCUGAAAGAAUCGACCUCCGCCCGUCCCACCCCUUGAAGACAAGAUCGGUAGCCCAAUAGCCCAUUUUGUGGUUCUUUCUCUUCGAAUUUUGCACUAGGCGCAGUUAGAUAUCCUCUCCAGGUGGCUCCGCCGUCGUUUGUGUAUGGUUAUGUCCUUGCCUUCAGCACCAGCCGUCCCUCAAGUGUAAUCCCCUCAUCCCCUUCCAUAUACCUGUAUUUUCUGUAAUUCAAUUAUUUAGAUUGGGGCAGUUAACUGAAUUUAUUCACAAUGUUGUGCCGACCUUCAGUUUCUUAUGCUUUACAUACAGCUCAUAGUUUAUUGAGGAAUAAAUGGAUGCCAUUAGUCACGAUUCAUCACCAUCCCUUCCUACUUUCUGUCCAUUUUUGUCGUUGUGAUAGGUGUACAGAAAUACCCAAGUCUCCAAUUUUUACAUCGAAUCGAACUUCACUUAUCAACCCAUCUUUUGUUUAUAGGAGAAUUUCUAGUUCAGCUACCGAAUUAGUUCUUCCAUUAAGAUUUGGUGGUUAUAGGUUUAGGCAAUUUUGCACUUUAGAAGCAGUUGCAUUGGAGGAAAUAUCUCAAACUAGAUGUAAUGAUGUUAUUGACAAGGUGUACAGAACAGUCUUAGAUAACUCCCAUCCUGAGCAUAAAAUGGAAUGGGCUCUUGAUAAACUAGGUAUGGAACUGACAACACCUCUGGUGGUAGAGGUCUUACACAGGCUUCGUUUUGAGGAGAAAUUGGCAUUUAGGUUUUUUAAUUGGGCAGGGCAUCAAGAACACUAUAGUCAUGAGCCUCAGGCGUAUAAUGAGAUGAUUGACAUUUUAUCAAGUACAAAGUACAAGGUGAAGCAGUUCCGGAUUGUGUGUGAUCUGCUGGAUUAUAUGAAAAGGAACGACAAGAGUUCUGUUCCUAUUGAGGUUUUGUUGACCAUUUUGAGACAGUAUACCGAGAAGCACUUGACACAUCUUCAAAAGUUUGCAAAGAAGAAGAAGAUAAGGGUGAAGACUCAACCGGAAAUUAAUGCAUUUAAUUUGUUGCUUGAUGCUAUGUGUAAGUGUAGUCUUGUUGAGGAUGCUGAAGCUAUGUUUAAGCGGGUGAUGCACAAGAUCAAACCAAAUGCUGACACAUACAAUAUUUUGUUUUUUGGAUGGUGCAGGGUCAGAAACCCAGCAAGAUCUAUGAUUGUGCUUGAGGAUAUGAUGAAAAUGGGACAUACUCCAGAUAAUUUUAUGUAUAAUACUGCCAUUGAUACCUUCUGCAAAUCAGGUAUGGUGAUUGAAGCUGUUGAAAUUUUGGAGUUUAUGAAAUCAAAAGGCUCAACUAUGUCUUCUCCUACUGCAAAAACUUAUGCUAUAAUGAUUGUGGCUCUUGCUCAGAAUGACAGAAUGGAGGAAUGCUUCAAACUCUUAGCGGAUAUGAGAAAUAGUGGCUGCCUUCCAGAUGUGUCAACAUACAAAGACCUGAUUGAAGGAAUGUGUUUGGUUGGAAAGAUUGAGGCAGCCUAUAGAGUUUUGGAUGAGAUGAGCAAGUCGGGUUACCCUCCUGAUGUUGUUACAUACAACUGUUUCCUGAAGGUUCUUUGUGAUAAUAAAGACAGCAACGAAGCUCUUAGGCUAUACAGGAAAAUGAUUGAGGUGAAUUGUGUGCCAAGUGUACAAACUUAUAAUAUGCUGAUUGUAAUGUUUUUCAAGAUAGGUGAUCCUGAUGGAGCGUUUGAGACCUGGCAGGAGAUGGAUAAGAGGGGCUGUGCACGGGACGUGGAUACUUAUUGCGUGAUGGUUGAAGGGCUUUUUGAUUCUGGUAAUGCCAAGGAAGCAAAUGUUCUUUUAGAAGAAAUUGUAAACAGGGGAAUGAAGUUUCCAUACCGGAAAUUUGAUGCAUUCUUGAUGCAGCUUUCUGCUAUUGGUGAUCUCCAUGCUAUUCAAAGACUAUCAGAGCACAUGAGGAAAUUCUACAAUCCUGCUAUGGCACGUCGUUUUGCUUUAAAUCAGAAGCGAAAAAGCAUGAGCUUAAGAGGGAAGUGAACAAGAACUUUUGUGGGUUAUUGUAUGGUUUGAAAUGAUUUCUCUGCACUGUUAUGGCGUUUCUGUUUGUGAAAUCUAAAUAAUGACGAGAGUUAUACCUGAAAAGCACAGAAGGAAAAAGUUUCUCGAGGCUUCAGAAUGCUUGAUUUGAUUGAUAAUUUGGCUUCAAGAUAUGGUACACAUGUGCUCCCCACCCAACUAAAGAAAAAAACAAGGGUGGCCAUGCCUGGCUGGCUUUGUCAUGAAUGCUGUGGGGUGCGCUCAAAUUUAAGCCUUUUGUGUAUACACAAUAAAAGAUGAAGUCUGUUUGAGUUGCAAACCAGAGUACUCUUCAAGAGUAGGUUACAAGAGGUUAGAGCAAUCGGGUAUGUCUUGCAAAUAUAGCACGAGUUACUAGUGCAUCUCGUUACAGGUCUGCAGGGGUGCAUUCGUUAAGUUUAAGCUUAUUUUACAACAUCGGAAAUGUUAUAAAUCUUUUCCCUGUCGUUGCAAGCUUACAAGAGGUUAAAGCAAUCGGGUAUGUCUUGCAAAAAUAGCACGAGUUACUAGUGUAUCUCGUUGGCUUAUCUUUUGCAUGACAUUUCAUAUUCUCUCACAAUUCAGAAUGUACAUUUCCAAGGUCAGAUUUGAAGUUGCUUGUGAACUCUUUGGUUUUGUUGUCGAUGCCUAGAAUUUUUUCAUUCUUUUCUCAUGCGCCCAUCUACUUGUACACAAACAAUUACAUUACACGUACACAGACAAUUACACGUGUAUCUCUGAGUAUAGGCAAAUCUAUUCUGAUUAAUGCUUUAGCAAACUUAUGGUGCCAUUUUUCCUUGAGCUUGAUUGAGAUCAUAUAAAGAUUGGGCAAGUUUGCACAUUUUGUGUUAUUGUCCUGUACCACGUUAUUGCUGCAUAUAUGUUUUUCAACUUAAUGUACUAUUUGGAAAUGCAGUUUUUAUGUUCAUAUCAUGAUCUCUAGAUUUGUAUAAAUAACUUCCCACCUUCAAGAAUUUGUGAAGGAACUCGAGAGACUUGUCUGGUUUUCCCGUAUGUUUAUUUUCUAAGAGGAAGAUUGACAGUGUUCCCUUUGAAAUUCUGCUAGCAUUUGAUAUAUUAUGGAGUAAUUUAAGCUUCUUAUAUUAUGAAAAUGCUGAUUGAAGAUGUUGACAUACUAAAAGUGCAGCCCAAAUCGAAUAGCCCAAGAAAUGAAGUCCAACUGGACAAUUCAGGAUAAA